Frieseomelitta varia is the source of this 1598-nucleotide long non-coding RNA. RefSeq lists it as uncharacterized. The transcript is spliced from 2 exons. Lineage: Eukaryota; Metazoa; Arthropoda; Insecta; Hymenoptera; Apidae. The record is from RefSeq and is a predicted model, not a curated record.
UCGCCUGGGGGAAAGAAACAGAAACGAAAAGAAUUAACUUAAGAUUUCUAGAUGAAAAUUUCUCAAAUUUAUUCUCAAACGAACGAAUUGUACAAAUAUAGAGUAUAAAAUUGUCAGAAGAAAUGGGGGGAAAAUCCCGCGAGGCAGCUGACGUCGCUUACUUUCCACUUUUUUUUUAAAUAACCCGACAACCAAUUGGAUACGUAUGUUUUUUAACUUAUAAAAAUAUUCAUUAAUUUUUGUCAUGUAAAUGACAGUUUCUGUCGCGAGGAGAUACAAUGAGUUUUCUACGAUAAUAAAUAUAGGACACUAUUUUUCUGAAAAUUAUUACCGGUCUCCAGUAGCUCACGCCAGCACGCGUCUCGGUCUACUUAUUUACGUGUUAGUUAAUUUUUACACUCGCUGAAUUUAGAUAACUAUAUUGUCAAAAGUAUCGGGCAUAUUUAGAGGCAGAUAUCUUUCAACAGUGAUUGACUUGUCACAAGUUGCUUGCUGGACACAGAUGAUCGUUGUAUAAUAAAAAUAACAUUUCGGAACAGACCGAUAGGCAUCGAUUAUUUUUAUUGCAAUGCUACAUCUUUUCUAUGAUCUUCUUUCAGAGAGUGAUUUCUCGAUUUAAGCCGUACUCUCUUACCUGUUCCUUCAUCACGACUAUACCGAUCCAUUGUGAUUCCUCUACGCAACGUCUUACAUCACAAGACACUCGACACCUUGCGUUAAAUAAGCGUAAUGCAACGAGGGGGAAAAGGAGAGACACAGAGGCAGAGCGUAUCGCGUAUCGUCCACAUACACACCACACAAUAGGAGAAGGUCACUCAAGUCGAAUAUCUGUUAUCUGGCUGUUGGAACAUUUUUUUACGGCAACCAGUAAGUAAUUCAAAUGAAUUAGAAGACCGAACAGGAUACGCAUGUAUCGCGAGAUAGUUGAAAAUUUUGGCUAUUAUGCGUCAACGCAAAUUUUAACGGGUAUGUAGACACCGAUAAGGAUUCGAUUAAUUUUCCAUUCUUAAUUCAGUAAAAAUUCUGUGCCAGGCUGAUUUUAAUUGAAAUUGAUUUAAUUUAAAUCAAGAUUAAAACUGACUUGAUCGAUAUUAAUUCAACAGCAAGAUCAUCACGCAAAGAUAUUUCUCGCAUCUCUCCCGCAAAAAACAGCGACAUAUAGAAAGAAAAGAGGUAAGAAGAAAAAAAAAAAGAAAAAUAAAUAUUCCAAGAAAUUCAGCAAGUCGUUAGUUUCUUCUUUGUUACAUAAAUUCCAGUCGAGAUAAUUAGUAGGUUUGGUCAGACUAUGCGUGUAAUGAUAAUCCAGUCGUUAAAUCAUUUGUUGCUCUGAUUGUUGAACGGUGAAAGGAGGAACGCAAGAUGACACGGAUAUUCAGCCGAUACAAAUGAUCGCGAACGUUAGAGGCAGUUCCCUCUUGAAAAAGAAUCGCAAGGACAUGCGUGGUAAAAGUAUACGUUUCUCUCGAUUUUCUAUUUCAAAACUGUCUGCCAGUUUUACGAAAUUGGAAUAAUUCUAGGUACGAUGAACGAGCGAAUUGACCUGACAUUCGUGUGAACUCGUCUGAUUGCAGCACACUGUUUGUUAUCGACGAAUUGGG